This 253-nucleotide ribosomal RNA is filed under the name uncultured bacterium. Its description in RNAcentral is "partial 16S ribosomal RNA". It matches the Rfam family "Bacterial small subunit ribosomal RNA", at positions 524 to 776 of the family's 1533-position model. The record is from RNAcentral.
GACGGAGGCGGCAAGCGUUGUGCGGACUCACUGGGCGUAAAGCGUGCGUAGGUGGUGCGAUGCGUCGGCGCUGAAAGCGCCCGGCUUAACCGGGCGACGGGCGACGAUACGAUCGCACUGGAGGCAGGGCGACGUUGGUGGGAUUCCGGGUGUAGUGGUGAAAUGCGUAGAGAUCCGGAGGAAUGCCGGUGGCGUAAGCAGCCAACGAGUCCUGACCUGACACUGAGGCACGAAAGCGUGGGGAGCAAACCGG